UAAGGAAUAUUGGACAAUGGACGCAAGUCUGAUCCAGCCAUGCCGCGUGAAGGAUGAAUGCCCUCUGGGUUGUAAACUUCUUUUAUAGGGGAAGAAAGAUACUUUUUUUAAGGUAGUUGACGGUACCCUAUGAAUAAGCACCGGCUAACUCCGUGCCAGCAGCCGCGGUAAUACGGAGGGUGCAAGCGUUAUCCGGAUUUACUGGGUUUAAAGGGUGCGUAGGCGGGCAUGUAAGUCAGUGGUGAAAUACCGGAGCUUAACUUCGGAACUGCCAUUGAUACUAUAUGUCUUGAAUUGAGUGGGAGUGGGCGGAAUAUGACAUGUAGCGGUGAAAUGCAUAGAUAUGUCAUAGAACACCGAAAGCGAAGGCAGCUCACUAUACUUAAAUUGACGCUCAUGGACGAAAGCGUGGGGAGCAAACA
Molecule: ribosomal RNA, 422 nt
Filed under: uncultured bacterium
Lineage: Bacteria
Description: bacterial SSU rRNA
Rfam family: Bacterial small subunit ribosomal RNA
Source: RNAcentral